CGUGCAUCCCCUGCUCAGGCUAACAUGGUCGCGCCUUUCACCGGCCUCAAGUCCAUCGCAUCAUUCCCCGUCACCCGAAAGCUUGAGAAUGACAUUACCUCUAUUACCAGCAACGGAGGAAGAGUUCAAUGCAUGAAGGUAUAUAUCUAUACUACUUAAUACUCAGAUAUAUUAUGUGCUAAUGAGGAACCAGUAUAACAUGGCAGAACAUUUCUUAGUUAGUUAUUGCUCAUUUGCUCUCAAAGUAGCACAAUUCUAAGUCAGAUAAAGCAGUCCUAGGUAACUUUAGAGUGAGUAACUUCAGAAUUUUCCUUGAAUAUGUCAAUAAUAUACAAAAAUUAUGUCAACACCUCGAUUAAAAGAUUGUUUUGCUUGUAUUUUCCUCCUGAGCUGAUCUGAGAAAUUUUGUUCUCAAGUCAAACAAUUAGAGACUUUAGCUCAAGAGAAAUGUCACCCCCUGGCAUUGUAGCCUGCGGGAUGUCCUCUAUAUUUUACCAUAGUAACCAUGUCGCCCCUCAAGUGAAGUAGAAUUUAAUUCAAUAAUGAAAUUGAACUACCCAGUAGAGGAAAUUUCUAGUUUUUUUGUAUAAUUUCCACCUUAGCUUGCUCUUAGUAACCCCCCUCAGUCUCAUUAAAUAGUCGGAAAUGUAUAUUCUUAUGAAGACAUGAUCACGUUCUUCAAAUUUUGCAAUCCAACACUGUUUCUAGACAAAUAUACAAUCUGUCGGUUUGUAAUUGAGUAAAUAUGACAUUCACAAAAUAUAUCAAGGAGAACACACCUUGGUUCUGAAAGUGAAUGAUAAAUUAGUUAGGUAACAUAUGUGAAUGGUGCAAGUGCAGGUAUGGCCACCAAUUAACAUGAAGAAGUUCGAGACACUCUCAUACCUUCCUCCUCUCACCACCGAACAAUUGGCAAAGGAGGUCGACUACCUUCUCCGUUCCGGAUGGGUUCCUUGUCUGGAAUUCGAGUUGGAGGUAAGCACUUUCUUCCUACACAUUUUUCAUGUUCUCUGUUACAUGUUUCUUGACAUUGCUGAUGACAAUUGUGUGUUAAACCAAUAUGCAGCACGGUUUCGUGUACCGUGAGCACAACAAAUCUCCCGGAUACUAUGACGGACGAUACUGGGUUAUGUGGAAGCUUCCCAUGUUCGGGUGCACCGACUCAUCGCAGGUGUUGAAGGAGCUUGAUGAGUGCGUCAAGGAGUACCCCCAGGCGUACGUCCGUAUCAUCGGAUUCGACAACGUUCGCCAAGUCCAGUGCAUCAGUUUCAUUGCUCACCAGCCAGAAUGCUGAUCAAUCUGUCUGUUGAUUUCAUAUAUUUAUCAAUCUUGUUCGGCUCAUAUAUAAACUUCUUGCAAUCUCAUUUCAUUUCUUUCCGUUUUAAAUUUCUUACUUGUAUCUCCAACACAAGGAAAUUGGAACUAUAGAGGAUUAUAUGUAGCGAUUGUUGGUGAUUAUAUAUAUCUACUUGUUUGUUUUCCCUGCACCUUCUAAAUACUUGCAUCAUAUGCUUUCAUGUCGUGAUGUACUUUUUUAUAUAUCUCCGAUUCUCCAUGCAGUAAUUAACCACUACGGUCUUUUUACACCAACAAAUUAUAUGAUAACAUAUAGAAACAGUUCAUUGCUUCCGUAAUAUCUGCCUUGGUACAUGUUCUCUUGUAUCACUACAAAACCUUUCACGUCCAACAAUGUGAAAGCAAAUUCUCUGUAAUAGAAAUGGACAUCUGCUAGCGACAUUUCAGAUAAUAAUAAAGUGUACUUAUGCACCAUCUGGUUGGAAGGAAUGAACGGGAAAAACAUGAACAAAAUCAAAGGUAAACGAGAAGUAUACAAGAGUGAAGAGUGAUGAAGAACUAGAAAGUGCAGACUUUAUUAUGAGUUUCACAAUAUAAUGAGUAAAAUAUAGGAAUGAUCAUUUAUCCCUAUAUUGGUAAGAUUGAGAUAUUAGUUUUUUUUUGUGUGCCAAACUAGUACAAAUUUCAUUUCAUUCUCCCUAAACGUAAUUCUUCCAACAAAAUGGGGCAUUACAUAAAGGUAUAAAGAUGAGGAGAUUAAAGAUUGACAGCUGCGAUAAGGGAAGGUAUGGAAAACAUGUGUAACUAUAUAAAUGUCGAACACCAAUAAGAUCCAAAUAACUCAGAUAACAUCCAAACUCAGUAACAAAUUGGUUAACAGAUAAAAUUCAGAAGCGAAUGCAAAAUAGUUUAUAAAAUUAGAUUCUAAGAUUCAAAAUUUCUAGUAUUCAGAUUAUAUGCAGAUGAAAGAGGAAGGGAGAUUUAUUGAAUAAUUUAGGCUUGACAAAACACAAUAAAAUGAUACACAUAGACUAGUAUACUCUAAUACUUAAUGAGCAGCAUAUAUUCUUAUUCUUAACUACCGUCUAUUCUAUUAUAUCAAAGAAACAUAAAUUAUUGCAAAGCUGUAAAUUCACAUUAAGAAGCUUAAACAAAUUACACAACUAGAAAUCAACCACUCAAAUUGGAUAUAAUUGGAUAAAUAUCUAAAGAGAUCAUAACUAAGAACCCUAAUUUCAAAGUUAUAAAUGUAUGUAUAUAAAUGAUUCAAAAAUCAGAACUCUGUAACACAAAAAAGCUAGCUGAACUGAGAUGAAGUAGAAAGCAGCAACAAAACAUUUAUGAAUUAAAUAUCUAAAGCUGAUCUAAUUACAAACAUCAACUCACAGUUAUCAAGAGGGGUGUAUUGGAUUGGGAUUUUAAAUCAUUUUUUUGCAUUCAUGAAAUCCGAGGGUAUUCGAUUGAGAUUAUUUGAAAUGCAUUAAAAUCUUGGGGUAUUCAAUUGGGAUUUUGAAUUAUGCUACAAAAUCUGGUGGUAUUCAAUUGGGAUUUUAAAUUAUGCUUUAAAAUCCGGUGGUAUUCAAUUCGGAUUGUUUAAAAUCCAUUAAAAUCUGAUGGUAUUCAAAUGUUGUCGGAUUUUUUUUCAUUUCAUAAAAUGGUGGAUUUUGUGGCAUUGUUCGAUGUAUUUUAAGUUUUAUGAAAUCCCACCAAAAUCAAUGGGAUUUUGAAGCAUUGUGCUUAAAUCCUAUCAACUCUGCGACAUUUCAUCAAGAAUCCGCACAAAAUCAAAAUCACAUGCAAUCCAUUAAAAUCCAUAGACUAAAAACAAUCCAUUAAAAUCUCAAUCGAAUACACCCCCGCAAUUUAUUAAUCAGAUGAGAGGAAGGAAGGGAGAGGGUCAGAGGGAGAGGGAGAGGGAGAGAGAGAGAGAGAGAGGAGUUACAGUGCUACGGCGACGUUCAGCGGCGAUGGAGAAGCCAAAAGCGACCAAGCAUAGUAUUAUUACAAGAAGAUGAACGAGAGAUGAGCCUUUCCCUGCCCCCAUUAUUGUUUCUAAGGGCAUCUUUGAUCACAAUUUCAAGCUUCAUAUUUUUUUCACUUUUAAUUUUAUAGAUAGAUUAAUCAAUCUCCAAUCAUCCAUUUAUCUUCCUAUGUAAAGUCAUUUACUAGAUAAAUUAUAUUAUUUUAUAAAAAAAAAUUAAAUAACGAAAUAUAUGAUCUUUCUCGGAUGAAGAUAACUUGCAAAUUUAAUGGUAUAGUUUAGAAAUUGGGGUUGAGAAGUACCAGUAGUUAUGCUAUAUUUACCUGAUGAUCUCGUAUCGUAACUUUUUUUACACGUGGGAUUUUUUUGCUUACAGCUCAUACUCUAUAACACACUUCCGCCAUUUCACAUGUGACUUCAUCUUUUGACCAGGGUUCUGUAAAUAGAAUUUUGAGCAAGAUCCCCUUAAUACAUAACUGAAUAAACAACACUCGUAGAGAUGAAUUCUGCUGGCGGAACUAGGGAAGAAACCCUAGCUUAGUCAAAGUUUUUUUUUUCUUCCAGAUAUUUGUUUUUUUUCAGAUAUUUUUUUAUUUGAGCUCUUAAAAAUAACAGUGAACCAAUAAAAAGUAUUUAUUGUGCAAAUUUUAAUUCUAGAUUAUUUUGAUUCAUGUCAUAUUGUCAUUGACUAACAGGCCAAAGUCAUUUUGUUAAUGGGCUCUAUUUUCUUGACCAAAAUCAUACUGUUUCCCCUACUAUUAUCCUGAGCCCAUGUUUUCAAAUUUCAAUUACGCCCAACCACCAGUCCAGAGUAGUUGUUGUUGGGCCACAAGGUAACCAUCCAAUGUCUAAACUAAUCAUAGUCCAAAUAAAAUUUUUUCAUAAAAACUGCGUGUACGUGAAUCCAGGGCAGAGGACUGAACAUGACUCCACUUGAGUUGAGCAAGAAAACCGCAAUCAUAUAUCUUUGAUUUUUAAAAUUGAAAACCGCAACCGUCAAUCGGGGUCGGUUUCGGUUUCGGUUUAAGAAACUUCGAUUCGGUUAAUAGUCGGCUCGGUUUCGAUUACAAAAUCGACAAAUAUAAGAAUGAAAAAUAGUACACAAACGAGACAAAUUAAUGCACGUAAUCUAGACAUAAUAAUUAAUAUAAUAUUAAAAUUUAACAAAAGUAACCGUAUUUUAUUUAAAACACUCUUGCCAGUAAUAUAAAACUAGUCUUAGUCAGAAUUUUCAUACAGAAUACGAAUCAGAACUUCCGGCUGAUUGGCUUUUUUAACACAUGCUUCAUGAAGAUUGAGAAAAUGUGACAGGGAAAAUAGGAAAUACAGAUUGGCAGUGGCCAGUCAGCAUGAGAUAUUCACUGAACAUCAAAUAUUAACAUAGACGGAUGUUUCUGUAAGUGUUAGAAUAGAUUUAUUAUAUUUAUUACAUAUUACAUAUAUUAUUUAUUAUUAUUUUAAUAACCGGUUCCGUUUGGUUUUUAUUGGUUCGGUUGGGAGGUAUAACCGGAACCAAACCGUUUAAAUCAGAUCAAUUUUUAAUUUUUCGGUUUCUAAUUGGUUUUUUUGAGUUUUUCCAAAUUUCGAUUCGUUUUGAUUUUAAAUCGGUUUUUUGCUAAGUCCUAAAUUAAGGUAUGGGUUCAAUUAUAGACAAGGUUAAGCUUACUUUUUAAAAAGUCUAACAUCACAAGUAAAUGGUUCACAAGUAAAUGGUCUUAAAACUAUAAAGAAACCAGGAUUGAAGCUCAAAAAUUAUCACCACUACACCCUUUUUUCGUGGUGCAACAAAUUUGGCCUAAAUCAAACGCAAAUCAAACGCAUUUAUACAAGACAAAUGACAGUCUUAAUAUAGGAUUACCCCAUUUUGGUUCAACCAUGAACACUGUUUGAACUAUGCGAUAGUUUCUUUACUAAAAUAUACUUCAGACUCUGGAACUGGAAGGACUAUGGGCCACUUAAAUGCAGCAUAUAUCUUGCAAUUUGAGCUCGAUAAUGGCAAAUUCCAAAUGCAAUCUAUCCACACAUUACACUCAAGUGCGAAAGAAUGAUCCAUGUAUUUUAAGGGUUUUGGUUCCUGGCAUGUGUACAUCAGGGAGUACUUAUAUAACAUACUGAUUUUGGAUCGUUGGAUGAUAUAUGCAUCUAACGGACAUAAUUAUAAAAAAAAUUCGUCAUGCUCAAUUUUUUUUUAUUUGUUUUUUUGCAUAUGAUAUGUAACUUGAAUAAUAAGAGGAAGGGGGAAAGUGAUGCAACUGCAAUUGAAGAAGUCAGUAGUCACUUAUUUAAAUUUCAAAGUACAAAGCCCAAAUAAGCAAUUUCCAAAGAGCUAAGCAAUGAAGGGCCAAGAAAUGGCUAGCUACUGCUAAAGAAAGCAAGUCCUCAUUCCUUGAUCAGAAGAGAUAAGGCAACCGCUCUCAUGCCACGUGUCAACUCAAUAAGAGUGUUUAAUGAUAAGGCAACCAAUCCAAAUUGCUCACACUGUGUGGCUACCAUGUUGCCUUGUCAACUUCACUGUAAUUCAAUGGUCAGAAAAAUUCUGAACUUUAGGAGGUGAAUUGGGAACCAUUGGAUCAGCAGGUUAAACGAUAAUGAGAUGAAAUGCCUAUAUAUUGGAUAGGUGAAGGAACAGAAGCAAGCCUCUCAAACACAAGAGAAGAAAGUAAAAGAACAAGAAGAGAGUAUUAGUACUCAUGGCUUCUUCAAUGAUAUCAUCAGUAGCACCGGUUACCCGUGCAUCCCCUGCUCAGGCUAACAUGGUCGCGCCUUUCACCGGCCUCAAGUCCAUCGCAUCAUUCCCCGUCACCCGAAAGCUUGAGAAUGACAUUACCUCUAUUACCAGCAACGGAGGAAGAGUUCAAUGCAUGAAGGUAUAUAUCUAUACUACUUAAUACUCAGAUAUAUUAUGUGCUAAUGAGGAACCAGUAUAACAUGGCAGAACAUUUCUUAGUUAGUUAUUGCUCAUUUGCUCUCAAAGUAGCACAAUUCUAAGUCAGAUAAAGCAGUCCUAGGUAACUUUAGAGUGAGUAACUUCAGAAUUUUCCUUGAAUAUGUCAAUAAUAUACAAAAAUUAUGUCAACACCUCGAUUAAAAGAUUGUUUUGCUUGUAUUUUCCUCCUGAGCUGAUCUGAGAAAUUUUGUUCUCAAGUCAAACAAUUAGAGACUUUAGCUCAAGAGAAAUGUCACCCCCUGGCAUUGUAGCCUGCGGGAUGUCCUCUAUAUUUUACCAUAGUAACCAUGUCGCCCCUCAAGUGAAGUAGAAUUUAAUUCAAUAAUGAAAUUGAACUACCCAGUAGAGGAAAUUUCUAGUUUUUUUGUAUAAUUUCCACCUUAGCUUGCUCUUAGUAACCCCCCUCAGUCUCAUUAAAUAGUCGGAAAUGUAUAUUCUUAUGAAGACAUGAUCACGUUCUUCAAAUUUUGCAAUCCAACACUGUUUCUAGACAAAUAUACAAUCUGUCGGUUUGUAAUUGAGUAAAUAUGACAUUCACAAAAUAUAUCAAGGAGAACACACCUUGGUUCUGAAAGUGAAUGAUAAAUUAGUUAGGUAACAUAUGUGAAUGGUGCAAGUGCAGGUAUGGCCACCAAUUAACAUGAAGAAGUUCGAGACACUCUCAUACCUUCCUCCUCUCACCACCGAACAAUUGGCAAAGGAGGUCGACUACCUUCUCCGUUCCGGAUGGGUUCCUUGUCUGGAAUUCGAGUUGGAGGUAAGCACUUUCUUCCUACACAUUUUUCAUGUUCUCUGUUACAUGUUUCUUGACAUUGCUGAUGACAAUUGUGUGUUAAACCAAUAUGCAGCACGGUUUCGUGUACCGUGAGCACAACAAAUCUCCCGGAUACUAUGACGGACGAUACUGGGUUAUGUGGAAGCUUCCCAUGUUCGGGUGCACCGACUCAUCGCAGGUGUUGAAGGAGCUUGAUGAGUGCGUCAAGGAGUACCCCCAGGCGUACGUCCGUAUCAUCGGAUUCGACAACGUUCGCCAAGUCCAGUGCAUCAGUUUCAUUGCUCACCAGCCAGAAUGCUGAUCAAUCUGUCUGUUGAUUUCAUAUAUUUAUCAAUCUUGUUCGGCUCAUAUAUAAACUUCUUGCAAUCUCAUUUCAUUUCUUUCCGUUUUAAAUUUCUUACUUGUAUCUCCAACACAAGGAAAUUGGAACUAUAGAGGAUUAUAUGUAGCGAUUGUUGGUGAUUAUAUAUAUCUACUUGUUUGUUUUCCCUGCACCUUCUAAAUACUUGCAUCAUAUGCUUUCAUGUCGUGAUGUACUUUUUUAUAUAUCUCCGAUUCUCCAUGCAGUAAUUAACCACUACGGUCUUUUUACACCAACAAAUUAUAUGAUAACAUAUAGAAACAGUUCAUUGCUUCCGUAAUAUCUGCCUUGGUACAUGUUCUCUUGUAUCACUACAAAACCUUUCACGUCCAACAAUGUGAAAGCAAAUUCUCUGUAAUAGAAAUGGACAUCUGCUAGCGACAUUUCAGAUAAUAAUAAAGUGUACUUAUGCACCAUCUGGUUGGAAGGAAUGAACGGGAAAAACAUGAACAAAAUCAAAGGUAAACGAGAAGUAUACAAGAGUGAAGAGUGAUGAAGAACUAGAAAGUGCAGACUUUAUUAUGAGUUUCACAAUAUAAUGAGUAAAAUAUAGGAAUGAUCAUUUAUCCCUAUAUUGGUAAGAUUGAGAUAUUAGUUUUUUUUUGUGUGCCAAACUAGUACAAAUUUCAUUUCAUUCUCCCUAAACGUAAUUCUUCCAACAAAAUGGGGCAUUACAUAAAGGUAUAAAGAUGAGGAGAUUAAAGAUUGACAGCUGCGAUAAGGGAAGGUAUGGAAAACAUGUGUAACUAUAUAAAUGUCGAACACCAAUAAGAUCCAAAUAACUCAGAUAACAUCCAAACUCAGUAACAAAUUGGUUAACAGAUAAAAUUCAGAAGCGAAUGCAAAAUAGUUUAUAAAAUUAGAUUCUAAGAUUCAAAAUUUCUAGUAUUCAGAUUAUAUGCAGAUGAAAGAGGAAGGGAGAUUUAUUGAAUAAUUUAGGCUUGACAAAACACAAUAAAAUGAUACACAUAGACUAGUAUACUCUAAUACUUAAUGAGCAGCAUAUAUUCUUAUUCUUAACUACCGUCUAUUCUAUUAUAUCAAAGAAACAUAAAUUAUUGCAAAGCUGUAAAUUCACAUUAAGAAGCUUAAACAAAUUACACAACUAGAAAUCAACCACUCAAAUUGGAUAUAAUUGGAUAAAUAUCUAAAGAGAUCAUAACUAAGAACCCUAAUUUCAAAGUUAUAAAUGUAUGUAUAUAAAUGAUUCAAAAAUCAGAACUCUGUAACACAAAAAAGCUAGCUGAACUGAGAUGAAGUAGAAAGCAGCAACAAAACAUUUAUGAAUUAAAUAUCUAAAGCUGAUCUAAUUACAAACAUCAACUCACAGUUAUCAAGAGGGGUGUAUUGGAUUGGGAUUUUAAAUCAUUUUUUUGCAUUCAUGAAAUCCGAGGGUAUUCGAUUGAGAUUAUUUGAAAUGCAUUAAAAUCUUGGGGUAUUCAAUUGGGAUUUUGAAUUAUGCUACAAAAUCUGGUGGUAUUCAAUUGGGAUUUUAAAUUAUGCUUUAAAAUCCGGUGGUAUUCAAUUCGGAUUGUUUAAAAUCCAUUAAAAUCUGAUGGUAUUCAAAUGUUGUCGGAUUUUUUUUCAUUUCAUAAAAUGGUGGAUUUUGUGGCAUUGUUCGAUGUAUUUUAAGUUUUAUGAAAUCCCACCAAAAUCAAUGGGAUUUUGAAGCAUUGUGCUUAAAUCCUAUCAACUCUGCGACAUUUCAUCAAGAAUCCGCACAAAAUCAAAAUCACAUGCAAUCCAUUAAAAUCCAUAGACUAAAAACAAUCCAUUAAAAUCUCAAUCGAAUACACCCCCGCAAUUUAUUAAUCAGAUGAGAGGAAGGAAGGGAGAGGGUCAGAGGGAGAGGGAGAGGGAGAGAGAGAGAGAGAGAGGAGUUACAGUGCUACGGCGACGUUCAGCGGCGAUGGAGAAGCCAAAAGCGACCAAGCAUAGUAUUAUUACAAGAAGAUGAACGAGAGAUGAGCCUUUCCCUGCCCCCAUUAUUGUUUCUAAGGGCAUCUUUGAUCACAAUUUCAAGCUUCAUAUUUUUUUCACUUUUAAUUUUAUAGAUAGAUUAAUCAAUCUCCAAUCAUCCAUUUAUCUUCCUAUGUAAAGUCAUUUACUAGAUAAAUUAUAUUAUUUUAUAAAAAAAAAUUAAAUAACGAAAUAUAUGAUCUUUCUCGGAUGAAGAUAACUUGCAAAUUUAAUGGUAUAGUUUAGAAAUUGGGGUUGAGAAGUACCAGUAGUUAUGCUAUAUUUACCUGAUGAUCUCGUAUCGUAACUUUUUUUACACGUGGGAUUUUUUUGCUUACAGCUCAUACUCUAUAACACACUUCCGCCAUUUCACAUGUGACUUCAUCUUUUGACCAGGGUUCUGUAAAUAGAAUUUUGAGCAAGAUCCCCUUAAUACAUAACUGAAUAAACAACACUCGUAGAGAUGAAUUCUGCUGGCGGAACUAGGGAAGAAACCCUAGCUUAGUCAAAGUUUUUUUUUUCUUCCAGAUAUUUGUUUUUUUUCAGAUAUUUUUUUAUUUGAGCUCUUAAAAAUAACAGUGAACCAAUAAAAAGUAUUUAUUGUGCAAAUUUUAAUUCUAGAUUAUUUUGAUUCAUGUCAUAUUGUCAUUGACUAACAGGCCAAAGUCAUUUUGUUAAUGGGCUCUAUUUUCUUGACCAAAAUCAUACUGUUUCCCCUACUAUUAUCCUGAGCCCAUGUUUUCAAAUUUCAAUUACGCCCAACCACCAGUCCAGAGUAGUUGUUGUUGGGCCACAAGGUAACCAUCCAAUGUCUAAACUAAUCAUAGUCCAAAUAAAAUUUUUUCAUAAAAACUGCGUGUACGUGAAUCCAGGGCAGAGGACUGAACAUGACUCCACUUGAGUUGAGCAAGAAAACCGCAAUCAUAUAUCUUUGAUUUUUAAAAUUGAAAACCGCAACCGUCAAUCGGGGUCGGUUUCGGUUUCGGUUUAAGAAACUUCGAUUCGGUUAAUAGUCGGCUCGGUUUCGAUUACAAAAUCGACAAAUAUAAGAAUGAAAAAUAGUACACAAACGAGACAAAUUAAUGCACGUAAUCUAGACAUAAUAAUUAAUAUAAUAUUAAAAUUUAACAAAAGUAACCGUAUUUUAUUUAAAACACUCUUGCCAGUAAUAUAAAACUAGUCUUAGUCAGAAUUUUCAUACAGAAUACGAAUCAGAACUUCCGGCUGAUUGGCUUUUUUAACACAUGCUUCAUGAAGAUUGAGAAAAUGUGACAGGGAAAAUAGGAAAUACAGAUUGGCAGUGGCCAGUCAGCAUGAGAUAUUCACUGAACAUCAAAUAUUAACAUAGACGGAUGUUUCUGUAAGUGUUAGAAUAGAUUUAUUAUAUUUAUUACAUAUUACAUAUAUUAUUUAUUAUUAUUUUAAUAACCGGUUCCGUUUGGUUUUUAUUGGUUCGGUUGGGAGGUAUAACCGGAACCAAACCGUUUAAAUCAGAUCAAUUUUUAAUUUUUCGGUUUCUAAUUGGUUUUUUUGAGUUUUUCCAAAUUUCGAUUCGUUUUGAUUUUAAAUCGGUUUUUUGCUAAGUCCUAAAUUAAGGUAUGGGUUCAAUUAUAGACAAGGUUAAGCUUACUUUUUAAAAAGUCUAACAUCACAAGUAAAUGGUUCACAAGUAAAUGGUCUUAAAACUAUAAAGAAACCAGGAUUGAAGCUCAAAAAUUAUCACCACUACACCCUUUUUUCGUGGUGCAACAAAUUUGGCCUAAAUCAAACGCAAAUCAAACGCAUUUAUACAAGACAAAUGACAGUCUUAAUAUAGGAUUACCCCAUUUUGGUUCAACCAUGAACACUGUUUGAACUAUGCGAUAGUUUCUUUACUAAAAUAUACUUCAGACUCUGGAACUGGAAGGACUAUGGGCCACUUAAAUGCAGCAUAUAUCUUGCAAUUUGAGCUCGAUAAUGGCAAAUUCCAAAUGCAAUCUAUCCACACAUUACACUCAAGUGCGAAAGAAUGAUCCAUGUAUUUUAAGGGUUUUGGUUCCUGGCAUGUGUACAUCAGGGAGUACUUAUAUAACAUACUGAUUUUGGAUCGUUGGAUGAUAUAUGCAUCUAACGGACAUAAUUAUAAAAAAAAUUCGUCAUGCUCAAUUUUUUUUUAUUUGUUUUUUUGCAUAUGAUAUGUAACUUGAAUAAUAAGAGGAAGGGGGAAAGUGAUGCAACUGCAAUUGAAGAAGUCAGUAGUCACUUAUUUAAAUUUCAAAGUACAAAGCCCAAAUAAGCAAUUUCCAAAGAGCUAAGCAAUGAAGGGCCAAGAAAUGGCUAGCUACUGCUAAAGAAAGCAAGUCCUCAUUCCUUGAUCAGAAGAGAUAAGGCAACCGCUCUCAUGCCACGUGUCAACUCAAUAAGAGUGUUUAAUGAUAAGGCAACCAAUCCAAAUUGCUCACACUGUGUGGCUACCAUGUUGCCUUGUCAACUUCACUGUAAUUCAAUGGUCAGAAAAAUUCUGAACUUUAGGAGGUGAAUUGGGAACCAUUGGAUCAGCAGGUUAAACGAUAAUGAGAUGAAAUGCCUAUAUAUUGGAUAGGUGAAGGAACAGAAGCAAGCCUCUCAAACACAAGAGAAGAAAGUAAAAGAACAAGAAGAGAGUAUUAGUACUCAUGGCUUCUUCAAUGAUAUCAUCAGUAGCACCGGUUACCCGUGCAUCCCCUGCUCAGGCUAACAUGGUCGCGCCUUUCACCGGCCUCAAGUCCAUCGCAUCAUUCCCCGUCACCCGAAAGCUUGAGAAUGACAUUACCUCUAUUACCAGCAACGGAGGAAGAGUUCAAUGCAUGAAGGUAUAUAUCUAUACUACUUAAUACUCAGAUAUAUUAUGUGCUAAUGAGGAACCAGUAUAACAUGGCAGAACAUUUCUUAGUUAGUUAUUGCUCAUUUGCUCUCAAAGUAGCACAAUUCUAAGUCAGAUAAAGCAGUCCUAGGUAACUUUAGAGUGAGUAACUUCAGAAUUUUCCUUGAAUAUGUCAAUAAUAUACAAAAAUUAUGUCAACACCUCGAUUAAAAGAUUGUUUUGCUUGUAUUUUCCUCCUGAGCUGAUCUGAGAAAUUUUGUUCUCAAGUCAAACAAUUAGAGACUUUAGCUCAAGAGAAAUGUCACCCCCUGGCAUUGUAGCCUGCGGGAUGUCCUCUAUAUUUUACCAUAGUAACCAUGUCGCCCCUCAAGUGAAGUAGAAUUUAAUUCAAUAAUGAAAUUGAACUACCCAGUAGAGGAAAUUUCUAGUUUUUUUGUAUAAUUUCCACCUUAGCUUGCUCUUAGUAACCCCCCUCAGUCUCAUUAAAUAGUCGGAAAUGUAUAUUCUUAUGAAGACAUGAUCACGUUCUUCAAAUUUUGCAAUCCAACACUGUUUCUAGACAAAUAUACAAUCUGUCGGUUUGUAAUUGAGUAAAUAUGACAUUCACAAAAUAUAUCAAGGAGAACACACCUUGGUUCUGAAAGUGAAUGAUAAAUUAGUUAGGUAACAUAUGUGAAUGGUGCAAGUGCAGGUAUGGCCACCAAUUAACAUGAAGAAGUUCGAGACACUCUCAUACCUUCCUCCUCUCACCACCGAACAAUUGGCAAAGGAGGUCGACUACCUUCUCCGUUCCGGAUGGGUUCCUCGUCUGGAAUUCGAGUUGGAGGUAAGCACUUUCUUCCUACAUAUUUUUCAUGUUCUCUGUUACAUGUUUCUUGACAUUGCUGAUGACAAUUGUGUGUUAAACCAAUAUGCAGCACGGUUUCGUGUACCGUGAGCACAACAAAUCUCCCGGAUACUAUGACGGACGAUACUGGGUUAUGUGGAAGCUUCCCAUGUUCGGGUGCACCGACUCAUCGCAGGUGUUGAAGGAGCUUGAUGAGUGCGUCAAGGAGUACCCCCAGGCGUACGUCCGUAUCAUCGGAUUCGACAACGUUCGCCAAGUCCAGUGCAUCAGUUUCAUUGCUCACCAGCCAGAAUGCUGAUCAAUCUGUCUGUUGAUUUCAUAUAUUUAUCAAUCUUGUUCGGCUCAUAUAUAAACUUCUUGCAAUCUCAUUUCAUUUCUUUCCGUUUUAAAUUUCUUACUUGUAUCUCCAACACAAGGAAAUUGGAACUAUAGAGGAUUAUAUGUAGCGAUUGUUGGUGAUUAUAUAUAUCUACUUGUUUGUUUUCCCUGCACCUUCUAAAUACUUGCAUCAUAUGCUUUCAUGUCGUGAUGUACUUUUUUAUAUAUCUCCGAUUCUCCAUGCAGUAAUUAACCACUACGGUCUUUUUACACCAACAAAUUAUAUGAUAACAUAUAGAAACAGUUCAUUGCUUCCGUAAUAUCUGCCUUGGUACAUGUUCUCUUGUAUCACUACAAAACCUUUCACGUCCAACAAUGUGAAAGCAAAUUCUCUGUAAUAGAAAUGGACAUCUGCUAGCGACAUUUCAGAUAAUAAUAAAGUGUACUUAUGCACCAUCUGGUUGGAAGGAAUGAACGGGAAAAACAUGAACAAAAUCAAAGGUAAACGAGAAGUAUACAAGAGUGAAGAGUGAUGAAGAACUAGAAAGUGCAGACUUUAUUAUGAGUUUCACAAUAUAAUGAGUAAAAUAUAGGAAUGAUCAUUUAUCCCUAUAUUGGUAAGAUUGAGAUAUUAGUUUUUUUUUGUGUGCCAAACUAGUACAAAUUUCAUUUCAUUCUCCCUAAACGUAAUUCUUCCAACAAAAUGGGGCAUUACAUAAAGGUAUAAAGAUGAGGAGAUUAAAGAUUGACAGCUGCGAUAAGGGAAGGUAUGGAAAACAUGUGUAACUAUAUAAAUGUCGAACACCAAUAAGAUCCAAAUAACUCAGAUAACAUCCAAACUCAGUAACAAAUUGGUUAACAGAUAAAAUUCAGAAGCGAAUGCAAAAUAGUUUAUAAAAUUAGAUUCUAAGAUUCAAAAUUUCUAGUAUUCAGAUUAUAUGCAGAUGAAAGAGGAAGGGAGAUUUAUUGAAUAAUUUAGGCUUGACAAAACACAAUAAAAUGAUACACAUAGACUAGUAUACUCUAAUACUUAAUGAGCAGCAUAUAUUCUUAUUCUUAACUACCGUCUAUUCUAUUAUAUCAAAGAAACAUAAAUUAUUGCAAAGCUGUAAAUUCACAUUAAGAAGCUUAAACAAAUUACACAACUAGAAAUCAACCACUCAAAUUGGAUAUAAUUGGAUAAAUAUCUAAAGAGAUCAUAACUAAGAACCCUAAUUUCAAAGUUAUAAAUGUAUGUAUAUAAAUGAUUCAAAAAUCAGAACUCUGUAACACAAAAAAGCUAGCUGAACUGAGAUGAAGUAGAAAGCAGCAACAAAACAUUUAUGAAUUAAAUAUCUAAAGCUGAUCUAAUUACAAACAUCAACUCACAGUUAUCAAGAGGGGUGUAUUGGAUUGGGAUUUUAAAUCAUUUUUUUGCAUUCAUGAAAUCCGAGGGUAUUCGAUUGAGAUUAUUUGAAAUGCAUUAAAAUCUUGGGGUAUUCAAUUGGGAUUUUGAAUUAUGCUACAAAAUCUGGUGGUAUUCAAUUGGGAUUUUAAAUUAUGCUUUAAAAUCCGGUGGUAUUCAAUUCGGAUUGUUUAAAAUCCAUUAAAAUCUGAUGGUAUUCAAAUGUUGUCGGAUUUUUUUUCAUUUCAUAAAAUGGUGGAUUUUGUGGCAUUGUUCGAUGUAUUUUAAGUUUUAUGAAAUCCCACCAAAAUCAAUGGGAUUUUGAAGCAUUGUGCUUAAAUCCUAUCAACUCUGCGACAUUUCAUCAAGAAUCCGCACAAAAUCAAAAACACAUGCAAUCCAUUAAAAUCCAUAGACUAAAAACAAUCCAUUAAAAUCUCAAUCGAAUACACCCCCGCAAUUUAUUAAUCAGAUGAGAGGAAGGAAGGGAGAGGGUCAGAGGGAGAGGGAGAGGGAGAGAGAGAGAGAGAGAGGAGUUACAGUGCUACGGCGACGUUCAGCGGCGAUGGAGAAGCCAAAAGCGACCAAGCAUAGUAUUAUUACAAGAAGAUGAACGAGAGAUGAGCCUUUCCCUGCCCCCAUUAUUGUUUCUAAGGGCAUCUUUGAUCACAAUUUCAAGCUUCAUAUUUUUUUCACUUUUAAUUUUAUAGAUAGAUUAAUCAAUCUCCAAUCAUCCAUUUAUCUUCCUAUGUAAAGUCAUUUACUAGAUAAAUUAUAUUAUUUUAUAAAAAAAAAUUAAAUAACGAAAUAUAUGAUCUUUCUCGGAUGAAGAUAACUUGCAAAUUUAAUGGUAUAGUUUAGAAAUUGGGGUUGAGAAGUACCAGUAGUUAUGCUAUAUUUACCUGAUGAUCUCGUAUCGUAACUUUUUUUACACGUGGGAUUUUUUUGCUUACAGCUCAUACUCUAUAACACACUUCCGCCAUUUCACAUGUGACUUCAUCUUUUGACCAGGGUUCUGUAAAUAGAAUUUUGAGCAAGAUCCCCUUAAUACAUAACUGAAUAAACAACACUCGUAGAGAUGAAUUCUGCUGGCGGAACUAGGGAAGAAACCCUAGCUUAGUCAAAGUUUUUUUUUUCUUCCAGAUAUUUGUUUUUUUUCAGAUAUUUUUUUAUUUGAGCUCUUAAAAAUAACAGUGAACCAAUAAAAAGUAUUUAUUGUGCAAAUUUUAAUUCUAGAUUAUUUUGAUUCAUGUCAUAUUGUCAUUGACUAACAGGCCAAAGUCAUUUUGUUAAUGGGCUCUAUUUUCUUGACCAAAAUCAUACUGUUUCCCCUACUAUUAUCCUGAGCCCAUGUUUUCAAAUUUCAAUUACGCCCAACCACCAGUCCAGAGUAGUUGUUGUUGGGCCACAAGGUAACCAUCCAAUGUCUAAACUAAUCAUAGUCCAAAUAAAAUUUUUUCAUAAAAACUGCGUGUACGUGAAUCCAGGGCAGAGGACUGAACAUGACUCCACUUGAGUUGAGCAAGAAAACCGCAAUCAUAUAUCUUUGAUUUUUAAAAUUGAAAACCGCAACCGUCAAUCGGGGUCGGUUUCGGUUUCGGUUUAAGAAACUUCGAUUCGGUUAAUAGUCGGCUCGGUUUCGAUUACAAAAUCGACAAAUAUAAGAAUGAAAAAUAGUACACAAACGAGACAAAUUAAUGCACGUAAUCUAGACAUAAUAAUUAAUAUAAUAUUAAAAUUUAACAAAAGUAACCGUAUUUUAUUUAAAACACUCUUGCCAGUAAUAUAAAACUAGUCUUAGUCAGAAUUUUCAUACAGAAUACGAAUCAGAACUUCCGGCUGAUUGGCUUUUUUAACACAUGCUUCAUGAAGAUUGAGAAAAUGUGACAGGGAAAAUAGGAAAUACAGAUUGGCAGUGGCCAGUCAGCAUGAGAUAUUCACUGAACAUCAAAUAUUAACAUAGACGGAUGUUUCUGUAAGUGUUAGAAUAGAUUUAUUAUAUUUAUUACAUAUUACAUAUAUUAUUUAUUAUUAUUUUAAUAACCGGUUCCGUUUGGUUUUUAUUGGUUCGGUUGGGAGGUAUAACCGGAACCAAACCGUUUAAAUCAGAUCAAUUUUUAAUUUUUCGGUUUCUAAUUGGUUUUUUUGAGUUUUUCCAAAUUUCGAUUCGUUUUGAUUUUAAAUCGGUUUUUUGCUAAGUCCUAAAUUAAGGUAUGGGUUCAAUUAUAGACAAGGUUAAGCUUACUUUUUAAAAAGUCUAACAUCACAAGUAAAUGGUUCACAAGUAAAUGGUCUUAAAACUAUAAAGAAACCAGGAUUGAAGCUCAAAAAUUAUCACCACUACACCCUUUUUUCGUGGUGCAACAAAUUUGGCCUAAAUCAAACGCAAAUCAAACGCAUUUAUACAAGACAAAUGACAGUCUUAAUAUAGGAUUACCCCAUUUUGGUUCAACCAUGAACACUGUUUGAACUAUGCGAUAGUUUCUUUACUAAAAUAUACUUCAGACUCUGGAACUGGAAGGACUAUGGGCCACUUAAAUGCAGCAUAUAUCUUGCAAUUUGAGCUCGAUAAUGGCAAAUUCCAAAUGCAAUCUAUCCACACAUUACACUCAAGUGCGAAAGAAUGAUCCAUGUAUUUUAAGGGUUUUGGUUCCUGGCAUGUGUACAUCAGGGAGUACUUAUAUAACAUACUGAUUUUGGAUCGUUGGAUGAUAUAUGCAUCUAACGGACAUAAUUAUAAAAAAAAUUCGUCAUGCUCAAUUUUUUUUUAUUUGUUUUUUUGCAUAUGAUAUGUAACUUGAAUAAUAAGAGGAAGGGGGAAAGUGAUGCAACUGCAAUUGAAGAAGUCAGUAGUCACUUAUUUAAAUUUCAAAGUACAAAGCCCAAAUAAGCAAUUUCCAAAGAGCUAAGCAAUGAAGGGCCAAGAAAUGGCUAGCUACUGCUAAAGAAAGCAAGUCCUCAUUCCUUGAUCAGAAGAGAUAAGGCAACCGCUCUCAUGCCACGUGUCAACUCAAUAAGAGUGUUUAAUGAUAAGGCAACCAAUCCAAAUUGCUCACACUGUGUGGCUACCAUGUUGCCUUGUCAACUUCACUGUAAUUCAAUGGUCAGAAAAAUUCUGAACUUUAGGAGGUGAAUUGGGAACCAUUGGAUCAGCAGGUUAAACGAUAAUGAGAUGAAAUGCCUAUAUAUUGGAUAGGUGAAGGAACAGAAGCAAGCCUCUCAAACACAAGAGAAGAAAGUAAAAGAACAAGAAGAGAGUAUUAGUACUCAUGGCUUCUUCAAUGAUAUCAUCAGUAGCACCGGUUACCCGUGCAUCCCCUGCUCAGGCUAACAUGGUCGCGCCUUUCACCGGCCUCAAGUCCAUCGCAUCAUUCCCCGUCACCCGAAAGCUUGAGAAUGACAUUACCUCUAUUACCAGCAACGGAGGAAGAGUUCAAUGCAUGAAGGUAUAUAUCUAUACUACUUAAUACUCAGAUAUAUUAUGUGCUAAUGAGGAACCAGUAUAACAUGGCAGAACAUUUCUUAGUGAGUUAUUGCUUUCAAAGUAGCACAAUUUUAAGUCAGAUAAAGUAGUCCUAGGUAACUUUAGAGUGAGCAUAACUUUGGAAUUUUCCUUGAAUAUGUAAAUAAUUUACAAAUAUUAUGUCAACACUUCAAAUAAAAGAUGGUUUUGCUUGUAUUUUCCUCCCGAUCUGAUCUGAGAAAUUUUGUUGUCAAGUCAAACAAUUAGAUACUUUAGCUCAAGAGAAAUGUCACUCCCUGGCAAUCCUGGGGGAUAACUUCUAUAUUUUACCAUAGUAACAGGAGUUUGAGAGUCCAAGAUUCGCAGAAAACAUGUGUGUGUCAAUGUGUGAAAGCCUAAUCAUGUCGCCCCUCAAGUGAAGUAGAUUUUAAUUCAAAAUAGAGAUGUGUGAGAACCUAAUCAUGUCCAAGUUUUUUGUAUGAUUUUCACCUUAGCUUGCUCUCAGUAACCCCUCUCUUAGUCUCAUUAAACAGUGACUCUGAAAUGUAUAUUCUUUUAAAGACAUGAUCACGUUCUUCAAAUUUUGCAAUCCAACACUUUUUGUCAAAAAAUAUACUACAAUCUGUCGGUUUCUAAUCGAGUAAAUAUGACAUUCACAAAGUAUAUCACUGAGAACACACCAUGGUGUGAGAGUGAAUAAGAAAUUAGUUAGCUAACAUAUGUGAAUGGUGCAAGCGCAGGUAUGGCCACCAAUUAACAUGAAGAAGUUCGAGACACUCUCGUACCUUCCUCCUCUCACCACCGAACAAUUGGCAAAGGAGGUCGACUACCUUCUCCGUUCCGGAUGGGUUCCUUGUCUGGAAUUCGAGUUGGAGGUAACCACUUUCUUCCUACACAUUUUUCAUGUUCUCUGUUACAUGUUUCUUGACAUUGCUGAUGACAAUUGUGUGUUAAACCAAAAUGUAGCACGGUUUCGUGUACCGUGAGCACAACAAAUCCCCCGGAUACUAUG
RNAcentral lists this long non-coding RNA (19185 nucleotides) under Daucus carota (carrot). RNAcentral's name for it is "long non-coding RNA (DCAR_LNC001441)". Lineage: Eukaryota; Viridiplantae; Streptophyta; Magnoliopsida; Apiales; Apiaceae. The record is from RNAcentral.